CCUCCUUUCCAGCACCUUGGAGUAGACUUUACUAGGGAGGCUGAGAAGUGUGAUACCCCGGUAAUUGGCACUCACUCUCUGGUCCCCCUUUUUGAACAGGGGAACCACCACCCCGGUUUGCCACUCCUUUGGCACUGUACCCGACUCCCACACGAUGUUGAAUAGGCGUGUCAACCAUGACAGCCCCUCAACACCCAGAGCCUUUAGCAUUUCUGGCUGGAUCUCAUCAAUCCCUGGGGCUUUGCCACUGCGGAGAUGUUUGACUACCUCAGUGACCUCCACCAGGGAAAUUGACGACGAAACACCAUCAACCUCGAGCUCUGCCUCCAACAUAGUGGGCGUGUUAUUCGGAUUCAGGAGUUCCUCAAAGUGUUCCUUCCAAUGUCCGACAACCUCCUCAGUUGAGGUCAACAGAGUCCCAUCCUUACUGUACACAGCUUGGAUGGUUCCCCGUUUCCCCCUCCUGAGGUGCCGGAUAGUCUUCGAAAAAACACUUUGGUGCCGACCGAAAGUCCUUCUCCAUGGCCUCUCCGAACUUCUCCCACACCCGCUGCUUAGCCUCCGACACGGCAGCGGCUGCAGCCCUUCGGGCCUGUCGGUACCCUGCAACCGAGUCAGGAGUCCUCCAGGAUAUCAUAUCCCGGAAGGCCUCCUUCUUCAAUCGGACGGCUUCCCUGACCAUCGGUGUCCACCACGGUGUCCGAGGGUUACCGCCCCUUGAGGAGCCUAAGACCCUGAGGCCACAGCUUGCCACAGCAGCUUCAGCAAUUGAGGCUUUGAACACCGCCCACUCCGGCUCAAUGCCCCCAACCUCCACAGGAAUGCCAGAAAAACUCCGCCGGAGGUGUGAGUUGAAGACACCUAGGACGGGGGCCUCCUCCAGACGUUCCCAGUUCACCCGCACUACUCGUUUGGGCUAACCAGGUCUAUCCGGAAAUUUCCCCCAUUCCCUGAUCCAACUCACAACCAGAUGGUGGUCGGUUGACAGUUCCGCCCCUCUCUUUACCCGAAUGUCCAAAACAUGCGGCCUCAGAUCAGAUGACACGAUCACAAAAUCUAUCAUUGAUCUUCGGCCUAGGGUACUCUGGUACCAGGUACACUUAUGAGCACCCUUAUGUUCGAACAUGGUGUUUGUUAUGGAUAAUCCAUGACUAGCACAGAAGUCCAAUAACAAACGACCGCUCGGGUUUAGAUCAGGGAGGCCGUUCCUCCCCACCACGCCUCUCCAGGUGUCUCCAUCGUUGCCCACGUGGGCGUUGAAGUCACCCAGCAGAACUACGUAGUCCCCUACUGGAGCCCCAUACAGGACUCCAUUCAGGGUCUCCAAGAAGGCCGAGUACUCUGAGCUGCUGUUUGGUGCAUACGCACAAACAACAGUCAGAGUUUUCCCCCCUACAACCCUUAGGCGCAGGGAGGUGACCCUCUCGUCUACCGGGGUAAACUCCAAUACCGCGGCGCUCAGCCGGGGAUUUAUGAGUAUCCCCACACCCGCCCGGCGCCUCACGCCCUUGGCAACUCCGGAGAAGAAUAGAGUCCAACCCUUAUCCAGGAGUACGGUACCAGAGCUGAGACUGUGCGUGAAGGUAAGCCCCACCAGAUCUAACUGAUAGCGCUCCACCUCCCUCACAAGCUCCGGUUCCUUUCCCCACAGCGAGGUGACGUUCCACAUCCCCAGAGCCAGCUUCUGCCGCCCGGGUCUGGUCCGUCGAGACCCCUGACCUUCGCUGCCACCCAUGUGGCUGCGCACCCGACCCCAACGGGUCUUCCCACAGGUGGUGGGCCCAUGAGAUGAAGAGAGGGGGGGUGCCACGUAGUUUGUUCGGGCUGUGCCCGACCGGGCUCCGUGGCAAACCCGGCCACCAGGCGCUCGCCAUCGAGCCCUCCGUCUGGGCCUGGCUCCAGACGGGGGCCCCGGGCUUCCUCCGGGCCGGGUCACAUCUCCUCUUAUUCCGAUAUUCAUUGAGGAUUUUUGAACCAUUCUUAGUCUGGCCCCUCACCUGAGAACACUCUGCCAUGAGAGACCCUACCAGGAGCACAAGGCUCCAGACAACACAGCCCUCAGGUUCACAGGGACACGCAAACCUCUCCACCACGAUAAGGUGACGGUUCCAGGAGAGGUCCAUGCAGAUUGUGUGACAGUAUAUUAUCUUCAAGAACACAGAGCAGUAACACUGACCAGCCUGAAAACCAGCAGUAUCGCUCCAUAAGAGAUGGGGACCUUAUACCAGAGGGUGAGCUGGCUUGGCAAGUGAUACUAGACCUGAAGGAAAUCGUAGAGUUGGUUGUGGCACCUGUUCACACGCACGAGACCAUUGCGUACCUUGAUGUCAAAGUGUCUGAGCACAGACACAGGUUGCUUGAGCUUAUCCCAGGUAUCAGCACCAUUUUGGGGCGUUCCAGUUAACAUUGUCACCAGGAAGAGAGGUUGCCCUUGUUCAGCUUGAGGAGCUGACGGAUUACUGUCCACUUGUGGCCUACACAGUCGGAUCCAGACGUAUGGGGACCCUGAAGAGACACAUCGUCAUUACAGAUUAGCAAAGCAGGAUGGCAGCACGAGUAACCUUCAGAGUCCUCUUUGGAGGUGAAGAGGAUGCAAGAAAACUCUCCAUUGAAUCCGGAAAACCAAGAACUGUGGAGGACUUGGCUCUUAAAAUCAAGACUUUCUUUGAAGUGACUGCGAAGUUCAGACUUCAGUACAAAGACAAAGACAUGGAUAAUCAGUUCAUGAAUUUCUUGUCAACAUCAGAACUUGAAGAUAAAGGGACGUUGAAAGUGGUGUACAUGCUUUGUGAGACAACCAGGUCCGCUCCACUCACGGAAGAUGCCUGCUGCACAAUCCCAGCCGAGCUGGACACCCCGAGGUUGCCAUCAACUCUCUGAAAAACAAGCAAAGUGGCCAGCAGUCUCCAGCAGCCAACAUCAAGAAGCCCAGGAAGGGAGAUGUACAUUUCUGUCCGAACAUCCCUAGUGGUGAAACAAAACACAGUUAGGAGAUGGAAAGGGUGGCUAUACUGAUGGAGUAAAAAAUAAGAAAAGGGAUGAGGCCCUCAUCAAGGAAAAGAUGCAGCGUACAUUCUCCCUCAGGAGACAGGAGGUUCUCCAGGAGCCAAAGAUUCCAGAGUUUUUCAAUAAAUGGCCAGCACUCUUUGACGUCAUUGAGAUCAACUUGGAGUUUAUGCGGCUGACAACUGUACCACUGACCUCAACAUUUUUGAGGGAACUGGACCGCCUGACCGGCGACCUGAUCAGGGUUUUCAACACUAAAGGGGGAGCUGCAGGGGAAAAAAUCGGAGCCAUGAUGGCAAAGAUGGAGAAUAAUCAAGACAUCAACGUGAGGCGUGAUUGCGUUUUGAGAUGUCUCAGCAUCUACCUCUGUGAAGACCUGGACACAUUGGUCAAAGAAUACGUGGUAAGUAUGUCAUCUUUCUGUCCUUUGUGCCAGAUGUAAUUAAUUUCCCUCUAGGAGCACCUGAUAACAUGUGGUGUUCAUGAGAAUGGGAUGGGCAUUAGGUCACAUUGACCUUGACCACCAGUAGUUCGUCAUUGGGUCCAAUGGGUUGUUUGUUUUGAGUAAGAAAUUCCCUCAAGGCAAUGGUGGUAGUGCUGUCACUUGUAGGAAGUAAAUCCAAAUGGUCCGGAGGGGCCUGAGGUGAAGGGACGGGUCCUGGCACCUAAGCGUCUCCAAUCUGCCAGCAACAAUUCUGCCCCAAACAAGAAGGAUGCAUGUUGUGGACUCUCAGCUUAUGAGCUCCAACGCCUGAAGAACAUCGGGGAGAGGGAAGCCUUCUUGUCGUCCUUGAUGUUAUUGCAAGUAGGUGGACAUGUUGACUGGAACUCUAACCAACACAAGAUUGAUCGACUUGUCUCUCUCUCC
Molecule: long non-coding RNA, 3874 nt
Organism: Gadus morhua (Atlantic cod)
Lineage: Eukaryota; Metazoa; Chordata; Actinopteri; Gadiformes; Gadidae
Source: Ensembl